GUAAAAUCUGUGAAAAGUGACAAGUCACAAAGUCCUACAAUAUCAAAUAAUUUUAUUUAAGUGAUCAAUAAUACAAUAAAAUGUGUAUAGUCGGUGAAAUGUUUAUAAGGUUUAUUUUGUUUAAAUGUUUAUUUUCACAAUCAACUGUUUUUUGCAAUAUAUGAACGAUUCAUUUACGACUCCAUGGUUUUCAUAAUAAUUCUUAAUUACCUUGAUUCUUUGCAAUAUUUGUCGCUUCUCUUUAUAAGAGAGCAGAAUUUCUGGUACGUUUGAUCAUUAUAAUGCACAUGUUACAUCCUGCAUCAUGAUGCUUAAAUGAAUCAAAUACAUUCAUUACAAAAAAAUCUAUUUAAUUUAUUAAUGGACCCGUCUCUCUCAGAAAGACGAGUACAUCCCAAGCCUCCUGGCGGCUUCCGAGAUCCUUGGGGUCUUCCUGUUUGGGAAGGGGUGGUGGUUCUGGUUCUGAUGGACCGCAUUGGAGGAGCCAACGCCCCCUAGACUCAACUGCCUGGUUAACCUCAGGGCCGGGGCCUUGCAGCAGGUCUUCGAGCAGGCUGCUGGUGGGGGCGGAGCUUUCAUCAGAGCAGGGGGGGGGACCCCCUCUGGAUCCACUGCUCUGAUCUGGUUCUGGUUUGGACCCGUCAGCGUUGACGCCGUCCGUGGUGCUGCAGGACUCUGAUGAAGACGAGGAGCGUCUAUAACAACAGUGGAUGAUAAUCAAUGAGGAUGAUCUUUAAACAGACAUUAAAGGCACAGAUUCAAUCAAAUAGAAUUAAACCAAGUUCAUUUUCACGUCACACGAUUAAACAUAAAUUCACCCAUUUCCUUCUAAUAACAAAAAUAAAUGAAUGUAUAAUUUCUAUUUAUUUUCAUUGAUAUGUUGGUAUUGUUUCUAAUGAAAUCUCGCUAACCGGAAGGAACUGCGAGUCGUUUCAGGGGACGACUCGCACCGGCCAGGGUCCAGGCGCCACGGGUCUCUGCAGGUCGUUGGGUCGGGGUCAAAGGUCACCGGUGGCAUACCCCCGAGCGCUUCCCAUGGCAACGCCAAAACCUGAGUGACGGCUUC
Molecule: long non-coding RNA, 1066 nt
Organism: Gasterosteus aculeatus aculeatus (three-spined stickleback)
Lineage: Eukaryota; Metazoa; Chordata; Actinopteri; Perciformes; Gasterosteidae
Source: Ensembl